This is a non-coding RNA of Pelobates cultripes (western spadefoot toad), 272 nucleotides long. The record is from the annotation of a GenBank genome assembly. Lineage: Eukaryota; Metazoa; Chordata; Amphibia; Anura; Pelobatidae.
AGUUACAUAGUUACAUAGCUGAAAAGAGACUUGUGUCCAUCAAGUUCAGCCUUCCUCACAUAUGUUUUUGCUGUUGAUCCAAAAGAAGGCAAAAAAACCUAGUCUGAAGCGCUUCCAAUUUUGCCACAAACUAGGAAAAAAUUCCUUCUUGAUGUCUCCUUGGAUCAAGCAGCUAUUACCCCACUAAUUAGAAAUUAUAUCCCUGUAUGUUAUGUUUUUGUAAGUAUUUAUCUAAUUGCAGUUUAAACCUCUGUAGUGACUCUGACAAAACC